UUACUGUAGUGAAUAUAAGAGCAAGCAUGUAUUCUCAGACCUAAUUCUUUACCCACCUAGAUCUGACCUUAGAAAUGCUGGCUGUUAAAA
RNAcentral lists this small nucleolar RNA (90 nucleotides) under Sorex araneus (European shrew). Its description in RNAcentral is "Small nucleolar RNA SNORA72 (ENSSARG00000020024.1)". Lineage: Eukaryota; Metazoa; Chordata; Mammalia; Eulipotyphla; Soricidae. The record is from RNAcentral.